Osmerus eperlanus (European smelt) is the source of this 127-nucleotide small nucleolar RNA. RefSeq annotates it as small nucleolar RNA SNORA65. The transcript has a single exon. The record is from RefSeq and is a predicted model, not a curated record. NCBI's taxonomy places the organism in Eukaryota, Metazoa, Chordata, Actinopteri, Osmeriformes, Osmeridae.
CCCGCCACUAGGCUCGUCUGCUUUGAGUGAUUGAGUUUAGUCCAGUGGAGGCUAAGAGAAACCCAGCCUUAGGAAACAGGGCUGCCCAAUCAGUGGGCAACUCUGUGCCGCAAGGUCUGGAACACUU